ACUUCAUCUCAAACUAUUAAAACUCAUAGUUAAUAGAUUUCCUCACCCAAACACCACUAGGCCGAAUACUCACCUAGUUAUUUUAGCAUUUUAUUAUUCAACGUCUAAUCUAAUUAAUCGUAAAAUCCAUACAUACAUUUAAUUGUAUACUUAAGUCCAAGAUUCAUAGUAUAACGGCUCACAUAUACAUAUAGUCUACAUGGCCGAAUACAUUAUGUAAAGCCCAAAAUCUGCCCGGGCCUAACACACUCAAAACAGUCCAAUUACAAAAAAACAAGCCCAUAUUCCACUACCAAAAUUACAAUGCCCAAAUAAACCAAAACCCAAAAGCCCAAAUGGCCCAAAAUCUAAAACAAUUUCAGCCAAACAAAAAGAAAGGCAGAAACCCUAGGUGCGUUGCACCUAGGUCCACCUCGCAUGCCUUCCGUGCCUCUGCAGCUCCUCCUGCUACCAGCCACCGCUGCCGUACGCGCACCAGGCCUUCUCCGCAUGUCUGACGUCUCUCUGACACCGCUUGCAACACGCAAGCACUAAAAGACAACAGAAGCAAACAACAGAAACAAACAAAAACAAUAGAAUGGAGAGUCGUUCAAAUCGGCUAUAAAAGCCUAAAUCGGAUGAAUGUAUUUCUCUUCUUCCUUUUUACGAACAAUAGAAAUAAAAAGCAGAAACUAAGAAGAUUGCUGGUUUUUUUUUAAAUCUUUCUUCUUCUUUAUUUUGUUAUUAUUAUUAUUUUAUUUUUUUAAACAAAAAUAAAAAAGGGAAAGCAAAACUUACCUGAAGCAGACUCGCAGCCUCGCCGUCGGUGGUCAUUCACCGUCGUCGGAUUCGGGUUUGGGAAGGGGCCAAGUUUUUUCUCUCCUUGUUUCCUCGAUCUGCGGUUUUGGCCUUUGAACGCACUUCAACACGCUGGCCGAAAAAGCCCUUGCACGACGUAGGCCAUCGGCCACGAGUGCGUUGGCGGCAGUCCAAACGACCAAAUAUGAGGGGGGUUUGAGAGAAAAUGGGGGCUGUUGAGUUUUUU
Molecule: long non-coding RNA, 1024 nt
Filed under: Gossypium barbadense (sea-island cotton)
Lineage: Eukaryota; Viridiplantae; Streptophyta; Magnoliopsida; Malvales; Malvaceae
Description: long non-coding RNA (GBAR_LNC015706)
Source: RNAcentral